RNAcentral lists this ribosomal RNA (298 nucleotides) under Barreropsylla excelsa. RNAcentral's name for it is "partial 12S ribosomal RNA". The record is from RNAcentral. Lineage: Eukaryota; Metazoa; Arthropoda; Insecta; Siphonaptera; Stephanocircidae.
AUACUUAAGUAGUAAUAGUUAUGAUCUUGAAACUUAAAGAAUUUGGCGGUAUUUUAAUCCUUUCAGAGGAACCUGUUCUGUAAUCGAUAUUCCACGUUAAAUUUUACUAAAUAAUUUGUAUAUCGUUGUCGUAAGAAUAAAUUUUCUAAAAUUAUUAUUAUAAUUUAUGUCAAAUCAAGGUGCAGUUUAUAAUUUAGAAGAAAUGGGUUACAAUAAAAAUAUUUAGGAGUUUAAUGAAGGAGGAUUUGGAAGUAAAUUAAUUUUAUUAAAUUUAAUUGAUGUUGGUUCUAAAAUAUGU